Molecule: long non-coding RNA, 203 nt
Filed under: Elaeis guineensis (African oil palm)
Lineage: Eukaryota; Viridiplantae; Streptophyta; Magnoliopsida; Arecales; Arecaceae
Description: long non-coding RNA (EGUI_LNC042024)
Source: RNAcentral
GCGCCCUCUCUUCUUCAUUUCGCAUGUCGGUGUUUCAUCUUCCCUCUCUCUCUCUUCUCUCUACUCGAACCCUAUCCACCCCAACAUCAACCUGUCCCGUAGCUGCCCCCUCCCUUUAGCACCACCACUAGCCCCUUUUGGCCUCAUCCCGCUUUGGCCCCACGCUCUGCCUCUCUCGUUUCCCUUUGGCCCUGCCUCCCUCG